CCUACGGGAGGCAGCAGUGGGGAAUAUUGGACAAUGGGGGCAACCCUGAUCCAGCGAUGCCGCGUGGGUGAAGAAGGCCUUCGGGUUGUAAAGCCCUUUAGGUUGGGAAGAAGUUUGUUUGGUGAUAAGCCAAGCAGAUUGACGGUACCGACAGAAUAAGCACCGGCAAACUCUGUGCCAGCAGCCGCGGUAAUACAGAGGGUGCGAGCGUUAAUCGGAAUUACUGGGCGUAAAGGGCGCGUAGGCGGUGAUAUGAGUGUGAUGUGAAAGCCCCGGGCUUAACCUGGGAAGUGCAUCACAAACGAUAUUACUGGAGUAUAUGAGAGGGUGGCGGAAUUUCCGGUGUAGCGGUGAAAUGCGUAGAGAUCGGAAGGAACGUCGAUGGCGAAGGCAGCCACCUGGCAUAAUACUGACGCUGAGGCGCGAAAGCGUGGGUAGCGAACAGGAUUAGAUACCCUGGUAGUCCACGCUGUAAACGAUGAGAACUAGAUGUUGGUAGGGGAACCUAUCGGUAUCGAAGCUAACGCGAUAAGUUCUCCGCCUGGGAAGUACGGCCGCAAGGUUGAAACUCAAAUGAAUUGACGG
RNAcentral lists this ribosomal RNA (585 nucleotides) under uncultured bacterium. RNAcentral describes it as "bacterial SSU rRNA". It matches the Rfam family "Bacterial small subunit ribosomal RNA", at positions 338 to 916 of the family's 1533-position model. The record is from RNAcentral.